Molecule: long non-coding RNA, 240 nt
Filed under: Sander lucioperca (pikeperch)
Lineage: Eukaryota; Metazoa; Chordata; Actinopteri; Perciformes; Percidae
Description: lncRNA (ENSSLUG00000001228.1)
Source: RNAcentral
UCGGACACAACUGUAUGAGCACCACGCUAGUCGACACAGAGUGAGACACGUUGCUCCAACAAAGGCUUCUGGAUGCGGUGUCUCCCGCGGCUCAGGUGAAAGGUCACGGCAGUUUCCUGCGGCAUCGCUAUGACGACCAGCCAGCGCUCGCCUCACGCAUGAGUCGGUGCUAAAUCUGCAAUGGAAAAAGGAGGACGGGGCACCGCGGUCGAGCCGAGCCGAGUAGAGCUGAUACUAGCA